Molecule: ribosomal RNA, 207 nt
Filed under: uncultured bacterium
Lineage: Bacteria
Description: partial 16S ribosomal RNA
Rfam family: Bacterial small subunit ribosomal RNA
Source: RNAcentral
CGUGUAGGCGGUCAGGUAAGUGAGAUGUGAAAUGCCCCGGCUCACCCGGGGACCGGCAUCUCAUACUGCUUGGCUUGAGUACGGGAGAGGAUGUGGGAAUUCCUGGUGUAGCGGUGAAAUGCGUAGAUAUCAGGAGGAACACCGGUGGCGAAGGCGCACAUCUGGCCCGAUACUGACGCUGAGGCGCGAAAGCUAGGGGAGCAAACG